This 567-nucleotide ribosomal RNA is filed under the name uncultured bacterium. RNAcentral's name for it is "bacterial SSU rRNA". It matches the Rfam family "Bacterial small subunit ribosomal RNA", at positions 112 to 714 of the family's 1533-position model. The record is from RNAcentral.
AGCGCGUGGGAAUCUACCUUUUGGUACGGAAUAGCUCCGGGAAACUGGAAUUAAUACCGUAUGUGUCCUUCGGGAGAAAGAUUUAUCGCCAAGAGAUGAGCCCGCGUUUGAUUAGGUAGUUGGUGGGGUAAUGGCCUACCAAGCCGACGAUCAAUAGCUGGUCUGAGAGGAUGGUCAGCCACAUUGGGACUGAGACACGGCCCAAACUCCUACGUGAGGCAGCAGUGGGGAAUAUUGGACAAUGGGCGCAAGCCUGAUCCAGCAAUGCCGCGUGAGUGAUGAAGGCCUUAGGGUUGUAAAGCUCUUUUACCAGGGAUGAUAAUGACAGUACCUGGAGAAUAAGCUCCGGCUAACUCCGUGCCAGCAGCCGCGGUAAUACGGAGGGAGCUAGCGUUGUUCGGAAUUACUGGGCGUAAAGCGCGCGUAGGCGGUUACUCAAGUCAGAGGUGAAAGCCCGGAGCUCAACUCCGGAACUGCCUUUGAAACUAGGUGACUAGAAUCUUGGAGAGGCGAGUGGAAUUCCGAGUGUAGAGGUGAAAUUCGUAGAUAUUCGGAAGAACACCAGUG